This 255-nucleotide ribosomal RNA is filed under the name uncultured bacterium. RNAcentral describes it as "partial 16S ribosomal RNA". It matches the Rfam family "Bacterial small subunit ribosomal RNA", at positions 524 to 777 of the family's 1533-position model. The record is from RNAcentral.
UACGUAGGGUGCGAGCGUUGUCCGGAAUUAUUGGGCGUAAAGGGCGCGUAGGCGGUCGUGACAAGUCACUUGUGAAAUCUCCGGGCUUAACUCGGAACGGUCAAGUGAUACUGUCGGACUAGAGUACAGAAGGGGCAACUGGAAUUCUCGGUGUAGCGGUGAAAUUCGUAGAUAUUCGCAAGAACACCAGUGGCGAAGGCGGCUCACUGGCCCGGUACUGACGCUGAGGUGCGAAAGCGUGGGGAGCAAACAGGG